This 467-nucleotide ribosomal RNA is filed under the name uncultured bacterium. Its description in RNAcentral is "partial 16S ribosomal RNA". It matches the Rfam family "Bacterial small subunit ribosomal RNA", at positions 28 to 507 of the family's 1533-position model. The record is from RNAcentral.
GACGAACGCUGGCGGCGUGCUUAACACAUGCAAGUCGAACGGAAAGGCCUCUUUUGGGGGGUAUUCUCGAGUGGCAAAGGUGAGUAUAACAUGUGUGUCAUCUCCUCGACACUGGGGUAAAACUACGGAAAUGUGGCUCUAAUACGAGAUGAGAUCCUCUUGUGUGUGGGGGGGUGGGAAGAUUUGGCGGUUGGGGAUGGGCUCGCGGCUUAUCAGAUUGUUGGGGGGGUGGUGGCUUACCCAAGCUUUGUCGGGUAGCCGGGCUUGGAGGGUGUACGGCCACAUUGGGACUUGGAUUCGGCCCAGACCCCUACGGGGGGCAGGAGGUGGGAAUUUUGCACAAUGGGGGGAAGCCUGAUGCAGCAACGCCGGGGGCGGGAAGACGGCCUUCGGGUUGGAAACCGCUUUCGCCCAGUACGAAGCUGUGUGUGACGGUAGUGGGUAAAGAAGCACCGGCUAACUACGUG